UGUUGUGUAUAUCCCUUCCCGACUAGGCGAACUUUGUAUUUUUCAAUACUACUACAAACUUUUUGCUUAAUUUUGAGAAACCAUUUGUUCCCAAUGGCUUUGCAUCUUUUAGGUAAAUCGAUCAACUCCCAAACUUAGUUAGAUUUCAUGGACUCCAUUUCCUCUUCCAUUGAUUUCAUCCAUUUUUCCUUUUGUAGGGCAUUUGAAAGCCUCAUUUACUUUCCUUAACUCUUCCUCAUCUUUUACAGUAACUAAGAAUAUUCCCCCUUCAAUCUCAAAAUGGUGACGAGGAACACUUUUCUUAUUUGUUCAACGUAUUUGAGAUUAUUCUAAGUUACUUCCACUAGGACUAGUUUCCAUACUUGACCUCACCAUCAUUUGUGAUUAGGUUUCAAUUGAAACAGGUUCAUUGAAUCUCAUAUCACUCCCACUCAAAUAUAGUUGGUCUAUUUGUAUCUGUGAGGUGAAAAUAGUUUGGUCUUGAGUUUCU
This 490-nucleotide long non-coding RNA is filed under the name Carica papaya (papaya). RNAcentral's name for it is "long non-coding RNA (CPAP_LNC004830)". The record is from RNAcentral. Lineage: Eukaryota; Viridiplantae; Streptophyta; Magnoliopsida; Brassicales; Caricaceae.